Molecule: ribosomal RNA, 419 nt
Filed under: uncultured Prevotella sp.
Lineage: Bacteria; Pseudomonadati; Bacteroidota; Bacteroidia; Bacteroidales; Prevotellaceae
Description: bacterial SSU rRNA
Rfam family: Bacterial small subunit ribosomal RNA
Source: RNAcentral
GGAAUAUUGGUCAAUGGGCGCGAGCCUGAACCAGCCAAGUAGCGUGCAGGAAGACUGCCCUAUGGGUUGUAAACUGCUUUUAUGAGGGGAUAAAGUCGGUCACGUGUGGCCGUUUGCAGGUACCUCAUGAAUAAGGACCGGCUAAUUCCGUGCCAGCAGCCGCGGUAAUACGGAAGGUCCGGGCGUUAUCCGGAUUUAUUGGGUUUAAAGGGAGCGUAGGCUGUCGUUUAAGCGUGUCGUGAAAUGCCGCGGCUCAACCGUGGCACUGCGGCGCGAACUGGGCGACUUGAGUGUGCUGAAAGUAGGCGGAAUUCGUGGUGUAGCGGUGAAAUGCUUAGAUAUCACGAGGAACUCCGAUUGCGAAGGCAGCUUACUGUAUCACAACUGACGCUGAAGCUCGAAGGCGCGGGUAUCGAACA